ACAAGUGUCAUUGAAUAACUUUUUUCUUUAACAGUUAUGCUGCCUUGACUUGUUGUAUAGGAUGAUACUCAUCUCUUGGACCCCUGGCCUCUCACCUGGGACCUAAGUGCACACCUUUGUCUUCACUCCUGACUGAUAGAUCAGGGAGUCAGACUCCUCCUGAGCCAUUGAUCCAAACAUCCAAUGAAGCUGAAACAAAACUUCCUUGUUAAAGGCCUGAUGGCUCACACUUUCUAGGAGAUGUCCUCUACUCCCAAGCCAGCGGAUGAUUCAGCUGGUCUUUGAUGAACAAAAGGAGAUGGAACAAAAAAAAAGAGGACUUACAUUGUUCAAAGGAAAGAAGACUGUCUCUUAUUUCCUUGAACAAGAGGGGAGACUGACAAAAAUUCUUUGCUUGGCCAAACUUCAAUCAGGCUUCUGAAUCUUCUGCUAGACCCCUCUGCACACUUCCUUAUAAAAUCCUGUUUGAACAAAGAA
Long non-coding RNA from Microcebus murinus (gray mouse lemur), 477 nucleotides. RefSeq lists it as uncharacterized. Lineage: Eukaryota; Metazoa; Chordata; Mammalia; Primates; Cheirogaleidae. The record is from RefSeq and is a predicted model, not a curated record.